GACGAACGCUGGCGGCGUGCCUAAUACAUGCAAGUCGAGCGGAGUUUUAAAAGCUUGCUUUUAAAAACUCAGCGGCGGACGGGUGAGUAACACGUGGGCAACCUGCCCUGUAGACUGGGAUAACUUCGGGAAACCGAAGCUAAUACCGGAUAAUCAUAGAAGUUGCAUAGCUUCUAUGUAAAAGUUGGGUUUACCUAACACUACAGGAUGGGCCCGCGUCGCAUUAGCUAGUUGGUAAGGUAACGGCUUACCAAGGCGACGAUGCGUAGCCGACCUGAGAGGGUGAUCGGCCACACUGGGGACUGAGACACGGGCCCAGACUUCCUUACGGGGAGGGCAGCCAGUUAGGGAAAUCUUUCCCGCAAAUGGGACGGAAAAGUUCUGGACGGAAGCAAACCGGCCCGGCGUGAAGCCGGAUGAAAGGGCCCUUU
This 431-nucleotide ribosomal RNA is filed under the name Bacilli bacterium oral taxon C43. RNAcentral describes it as "bacterial SSU rRNA". It matches the Rfam family "Bacterial small subunit ribosomal RNA", at positions 28 to 437 of the family's 1533-position model. Lineage: Bacteria; Bacillati; Bacillota; Bacilli. The record is from RNAcentral.